Molecule: non-coding RNA, 186 nt
Filed under: Desulfobacca acetoxidans
Lineage: Bacteria; Pseudomonadati; Thermodesulfobacteriota; Desulfobaccia; Desulfobaccales; Desulfobaccaceae
Also listed under: 1 other name
Source: RNAcentral
UAUAAUCAUUUCGCUUCAGGUGCCCCCUUGGGCUUAAUAGGGAAGCCGGUGCAAAUCCGGCACGGUCCCGCCGCUGUAACCGGGGACGAAACCUGCAAUUGCCACUGUUUACCUGAAGGGAAUGGGAAGGCGCAGGGACUAGGAUGAUCCGGGAGUCAGAAGACCUGCCUGUAACGAAAGUGCCGU